RNAcentral lists this ribosomal RNA (370 nucleotides) under uncultured eukaryote. RNAcentral describes it as "partial 18S ribosomal RNA". It matches the Rfam family "Eukaryotic small subunit ribosomal RNA", at positions 592 to 976 of the family's 1831-position model. The record is from RNAcentral.
CAAUAGCAUAUAUUAAAGUUGUUGCAGUUAAAAAGCUCGUAGUUGGAUUUCUGGUCGGAAGCUCCUGUCCUCUGAUGAGCGUACAAGUGCGUCCUACCAUCCUUCUGUUAACCUUUAAGGCUUUCGCGGCUUUCUAGGGGCUCAGAUAUUUUACCUUGAGAAAAUUAGAGUGUUUCAGGCAGGCUAGCGCCGGAAUACAUUAGCAUGGAAUAAUGGAAUAGGACUUUUGCCUCUUCUGUUGGUCAUGAGGCUCGAGUAAUGAUUAAUAGGGAUAGUUGGGGGCAUUAGUACUUAACUGUCAGAGGUGAAAUUCUCGGAUUUGUUAAAGACUAACUUAUGCGAAAGCAUUUGCCAAGGAUGUUUUCAUUAA